RNAcentral lists this ribosomal RNA (495 nucleotides) under uncultured bacterium. Its description in RNAcentral is "partial 16S ribosomal RNA". It matches the Rfam family "Bacterial small subunit ribosomal RNA", at positions 30 to 507 of the family's 1533-position model. The record is from RNAcentral.
UGAACGCUGGCGGCGUGCCUACUACAUGCAAGUCGAGCGAACAGACGAGGAGCUUGCUCCUCUGACGUUAGCGGCGGACGGGUGAGUAACACGUGGAUAACCUACCUAUAAGACUGGGAUAACUUCGGGAAACCGGAGCUAAUACCGGAUAAUAUAUUGAACCGCAUGGUUCAAUAGUGAAAGACGGUUUUGCUGUCACUUAUAGAUGGAUCCGCGCCGCAUUAGCUAGUUGGUAAGGUAACGGCUUACCAAGGCAACGAUGCGUAGCCGACCUGAGAGGGUGAUCGGCCACACUGGAACUGAGACACGGUCCAGACUCCUACGGGAGGCAGCAGUAGGGAAUCUUCCGCAAUGGGCGAAAGCCUGACGGAGCAACGCCGCGUGAGUGGUGAAGGUCUUCGGAUCGUAAAACUCUGUUAUUAGGGAAGAACAAAUGUGUAAGUAACUAUGCACGUCUUGACGGUACCUAAUCAGAAAGCCACGGCUAACUACGUG